This is a long non-coding RNA of Manis pentadactyla (Chinese pangolin), 1099 nucleotides long. RefSeq lists it as uncharacterized. The transcript is spliced from 2 exons. The record is from RefSeq and is a predicted model, not a curated record. NCBI's taxonomy places the organism in Eukaryota, Metazoa, Chordata, Mammalia, Pholidota, Manidae.
GCCUAAGUUGGGUCCUGGGAGCGAGGCGGGGAGCUGCGGGGGCCCGAGCGCCCCGGCUCUGUGCGCUGGGCUUCGGGGUCUGCUCCCACGAGCCUGCGCGGGGGAUGGGGGCAGGGUAACUCGCCGCGGGCCCUAGCUGGGAGUCCCUUGGGAAAUCGGGUGUGGGGACCGGAGUGGAGCUGCCCUUUCAGCGGCUGAGUAAGCAGCAGGAUUUAGUCAGUCCUUUUGGACACGGAGCCCCGCUGGGAUGCUCGACGCCUUGGGGCAGGACCCUGGCCAGGGGCAGCUGGAGCAGGGCGCGUGUGACCCGAGAUGUGAAUCCACUGAGCUGAACUGUUUCAUCUCUCCUUAAACCACUCUUGUACCUCAGGUGAGAAGCAGCUUCCAUCACUACAUGCUUGUCUCUAUGGAGGAAAGAGGAGCAGCUGUCUAACUUGACCAAUAUGGUCAGCACGUCUUGAAUGCUUUAUCAGAAUAGGCCAGGACAUCUUAUUUUCUGUUGUUAAUAUAACUCACCAAAAAUUGUCAAAUCCCCUCUUCAUCUGGGACCACCUCAAGACAAGCAACAGAUGUUGGAAGACAUGAAGGAAAGGUCAAGGUAAUCUCAAGAUUACAUAGUUGCUUGGUGGCAAAGCUGGAAAUAGAACACAAAGAUAAGAGUUUAAUCUUUACUGAACUAUUAAUGUGGGCAGAUGUAAUUUUUUUAAAAUCUUCAAUUCUCCUGGCAAGAGAUCAGAGAAAAUCUUCCACCAAACAAUUUUGGAUUUUAAAAUUAAAUAUUAAAAUACCAUACAAUCCACCUUAGAAUUCAUCUAAAUUAGUCUUCUCACCACUGAAUCUUGUCCCUCCUCAAGAAGACCACAGAUGUAAUACUAAUCCUGUCUCCUGCUCUUUAUCUGUUUGCUGAAAAGAAUGAGAUGUUUUACUAUGUAGUGGCAUGCACAUUAAAAUUAAUCGGAGCUCUAAACUGUUACCCAAUAUUCCUCCUGAGCCAUAUCUCUGAAUUUCCCUGGAGAAAUCCUAGGGAAACUGUAAAGAGACUAUGAUAUUUUUUAGACAUAUAAUGUGAUUUGAUUCAUCAAUAAAAUGUUACUCGAGA